AACAAAAGCGCACUCCAACAAUGCACACUUGUCCUUCACUUUUCCCUUUGAGCCCCAUAUUCAUUGGCGGCGCUGCGAGCAGAGAAUAGGCAAUGUGUGAUUAUACUGUAUGGAGCUGGUGAGGGGAGUGUGUCAAAGUGUGCAUGCCACACAAUGUGCCUGGAGAGAUUGAUGUUUUUGUCAUCCACCUGCUUCAAAGCUGUAAAAAAGCCGGCUGAUGCAAAUAGAGAAACCUAGCCAGGCAGGCUCACAAACAAAAGAGGGAGAACCUCCACUGCUCCUCUUUUUGCACAUCUGCUUUGGAGGAAUAUCUGAGGUUUCUGUUGUGACGCACACUGCAGGCUCAAAUGAACACUGAAUCUGAGUCUGGUGUCUGGCGACUACCUGAUCAGUCACUGGUCCUCCUCUUGUCUCUUUCUGGUGCUGUUCUGGUUGCGUCCCCAGCGGGAGCAGAAAUGGGGCAUGGAGCCUGGGCGGGGCGGCUGGGAGGAGAGACGGCAGCCGGGGUGGCGCGCCGACUGGAGGAGUGCCAACCAGGCUGCCAGAAAAUGAAGUUAAAGUUUAUAGAGACAUGCAGAGAAUGA
Molecule: long non-coding RNA, 584 nt
Filed under: Dicentrarchus labrax (European seabass)
Lineage: Eukaryota; Metazoa; Chordata; Actinopteri; Moronidae
Description: lncRNA (ENSDLAG00005028899.1)
Source: RNAcentral